AUUGAACGCUGGCGGCAUGCUUUACACAUGCAAGUCGAACGGUAACAGCACUUCGGUGGCUGACGAGUGGCGAACGGGUGAGUAAUACAUCGGAACGUGCCUAGUAGUGGGGGAUAACUACUCGAAAGAGUAGCUAAUACCGCAUGAGAUCUAAGGAUGAAAGCAGGGGACCUUCGGGCCUUGCGCUACUAGAGCGGCUGAUGGCAGAUUAGGUAGUUGGUGGGAUAAAAGCUUACCAAGCCGACGAUCUGUAGCUGGUCUGAGAGGACGACCAGCCACACUGGGACUGAGACACGGCCCAGACUCCUGCGGGAGGCAGCAGUGGGGAAUUUUGGACAAUGGGCGCAAGCCUGAUCCAGCAAUGCCGCGUGCAGGAUGAAGGCCUUCGGGUUGUAAACUGCUUUUGUACGGAACGAAAAGCCCUCUUCUAAUACAGGAGGGUCAUGACGGUACCGUAAGAAUAAGCACCGGCUAACUACGUG
Molecule: ribosomal RNA, 482 nt
Filed under: uncultured bacterium
Lineage: Bacteria
Description: partial 16S ribosomal RNA
Rfam family: Bacterial small subunit ribosomal RNA
Source: RNAcentral